Molecule: long non-coding RNA, 4041 nt
Organism: Lotus japonicus
Lineage: Eukaryota; Viridiplantae; Streptophyta; Magnoliopsida; Fabales; Fabaceae
Exons: 6
Source: RefSeq, a predicted model, not a curated record
UUUUACCCCAACCUUCUACCAGCCUGUUUCUCUAUCCCGCCGGCUCCUCUACCCAUCAACCUCCUCCACGACCUCAUCCCAGCCUCUUUCUCUAUCCCAUGGAUCUCACGGUUUGCAGCAACAAGCCAACAACAACUCUCAAGGCUCAACUCAGGGUUUCAAAGAAAUCAAUGGAAAUAUGGAAUCAAAGCUUUUACUUGCAAAAUCAAGGCAAGGCUGUGCGAAGCAGAGGUGUGGUCAGGGGCGGUGUCGCCGGGGCUGCGCCGCUGCGGUCGUGAGAGACAGAGAGAGGUCAGAGGAGAAGGAGGGAGGUAAGAAAUCAGAGAAGAGAUCAAAAUGGAAAAAUCAAAUCAAAGCUGAUAGUGGCAGGCGACGGCGGCGGCGGGCGACGAAGGACGGAAGGUUGAGACUCUUAUGCAGCUAUUCUUUGCAAAUGCAUUUGAGGAUUAUUUCAGACAUGGAUCCAAGUCGGAGCUGGGCUGCGCAUAUUGUUUGUUUGGAAGAGGAAGGUGGUUCUGGCUACAGGGGCAACUGGAUGAUGGGUUCAAGUGGAGAAAGUAUGGAAAGAAGAUGGUGAAAAAAAAUCUCAAUCCAAAGUAUAUAUGCUUCUAAUAUUGUUUAGUAAUAGCACUGCAUUUUUUAAGAAGAUGAUGAUAACUUCCUCCAUCAGCUACACAAACACUGUUGUUGUUCACCUUAAUGAGUUCCCUUGGGCUUCCUUUGAUCAUUAUUUGGAAGACAAGGGAAGAGUAAUCCGAGUCUUAUUUCCAAAAAAAUCAACAACCGAGCAGCUUAACCAGGGUGACUGAGGAAGUGGUGAAUGAAGCUGAAAAGAAUAUUGGUGAUGAGAAGCCUGCAGGCGAGGAAGAGGUAGCAGAUGUAAACAAGGAAAACCCUGUUAAUGAAACAGUGAGGGGCCUCUAUACUUUCAUAUUAGUAAAACAGGAGAGGAGUCCCUGAGCAAGGUAGAUGAGCUGCUUACAAAAUUAUGGGAAUUUGCUGAUUGUCCACGUGAAGCUACUUUAUCUCAAUGGUGAGUGCUCCUUCAUCAAUGGAUCGUUGCUCCCUGGGAGUAUCAGUAAAAGAGAAAGGUAGCAUGCUCUAGCUCUUUGUUAUUAUGGAGCAGGUAAGGACAUGGUAGCACUGACUCUUCUCAGAAAUUUUUUGAGUAGUAGAGCAACAUAUCUACCUCUGAUUUUACACUGUUAACAAAGCCUGACAUUGUCUGCUCAGAGAGAUAAGCCUUCAUCAAACUUUGUAGUUAGAUUGUUCAUGUUUUUUGUUUUUAUUGUGAGAUGAUAACUUCUGAUUCAUGAUGCUUGCUAUCUGUUUAAGCAUGCACAGAACUAACCUUUAAUUGAGGUAGUGUUUUCUAUAUAAAUUAGACUAUAGCAUAACAUGUGAAUCCUUUUCUACAUUUGGUGCAUAUUUGUAAAGAAUAGAGCAAAGAAUUACAUUAGACAAUGUUUGGCCAAACUUCUCCAUCAAUAUUUUGAGAUGCUUUCAGCGUCAUUAUGUAAAUACACUACAGAUGUUGAGGAUACGAUAACUGGAUUCAGAGGAGAGGUGGCAAACUGUUUGAGAUGGUGAGACAUUCUUCCCACUUUAUUGUUUGUAAACAGAUUGGAGAGGGUUUUCAAGUGUGAAAAUAGCAUGUAGGUUUUCUGCCCUUUUCAUACUUUCUGAUAUAUUUUGCGGAGGCCUUUAACCUACACAAGUAAAAACUUGUGUAGAGUUGCACAAGCCACUUUUUACCUAUCAUAGCAGGUUUUCAGAUUUUUUUUUUAAAAAAUAAUUCAAAAACAUAUUUAUUAGUGUAUUAGUGAAUUAGUUAAUUCAGGAUUUAGGUUAAUCUCAUCACCAUCUUCAACCUUCUUUCAUCAUAUAUCUUCAUCAUCUAACAUCAAAAAAAUCCAUGAAACUAAAUUUAUUCACAUCAAUUUUAUCAUUCUUGCAUAACUUUUAUUCCCCAACAACAACAAAAACUGAAAAAAAACAAAUUAUUUAUUAUCAUCCACAUAAUUCCAGAUUCAACAACACAUUACAAUCAAUAACAAAAAACAAGAAUAGAGGAUGAUGGUAAGGUUCACGUUUUCUGUACAACUUGGAAAAAGAAAAAAAAAAAAGACAAGAACCCAGGGGAGGUUCACGAACAACUGGAAGGAGAAGACUCCGUCCAUUUUUUUUUCCUGUUUGUUUUCCUGUGUGUUUUCAGGAGGAAGGAGAAGACUCGGACCAUGGCUGGGUAAUCUCCGCCGCUGGGCAGGUCAUGAGGUUGAAGAUCAACAGCGAAGAUUCCAAAUCUGGGGCGGAUCGAUUGAGGUUCGGGGUGGGAGGGGUGCUGCACGGUAUGGCAGGGAAAGAGAUAGAGGGGUAGAGAAGGAGAUUGUGGAAGGGAAGGUCGCAAACCCCCAACCCCACCAAACCCACAACCAACCUCACCCCAUAACCACCCCCACCGCAACCCAGACCAGCAAACCACAGCCCACUCGAACCCAGAACCCACGCACACCCAACCUCACCCCAUCCCCAACGCAACCCACAGUGCAAAUCGACCCCCACCCCAGAUUUGAAACCCAACCCGCCGCUCUGCUCCGCCGUCGUCACCCAACCCCCAGAUCUGAAGUUGAAGUUGUGGGUUUUUUGGAAGCAGAUUUGAAGGUGUGGAAGGGAAAGGAUGAUCAAAGAUGGGAAAGGAUGACCAGAGAGAAAAUAUUAAAGGACAUGAGAACAAGAUUUGAAGGGUGGUCGAAGGGAAAUGAUGACCACAGAUUUGAAUUUGAAGGGUGACGGUGGUGAAGUUGAAGAUGAGAGAGAAGAUGAAAUGUGUGUGAGAGAAAGGGUGUGUGAUUAAAGGAUAAUUGAUUAAUUAAUAAAAUAAGUUUUUUGAAUUAUUUUUUUAUAAAAAAAACCGGAAAACCUACACUAACAGGUAAAAAGUGACUUGUGUAACUAUGCACAAGUUUUUACUUGUGCAUAUUAAAGAUUUCCAUAUUUUGCACCUAAUUUUUUAUGUUUUUCUUGAGUGGCUUGGUUGAGUUUUGUUCUACAAUUGAAAACCAAAGAAAAGAUAGGAGGAAGGAGAGGGAGCCUUAUCGAUUUAUUUAUUCACAAUAAGUUUGAGGAAAGCAUAUUGAAAUCUGAAGAAAUAUUAGAAGAAAUAAUCACCUCCAUUGAUUUUGAUUUAUUUUUAGGCCAACUACCCUUGCUUUGCAUACUAGAAAAAAUAUAUUUGGUUUGGUUGGAUGAGAUCAUCCUAAUGCAUCAAAUUCACUUGCUACUAUUACACAUUCUAAUGUUUCUCUCUUUUCAGUUUUCAUUCUCCACGCACCUCUACAUUGCUUCUUGAAAUCUGGAUUUUUUCAUGGAUACCAGAGGGAACUGAGAAGUUAAUCAUACAUUCAAGAAGUAGUUCUCUCAUGUUGUCGAACUGACAUUAUAUACUGCUCUGCUCUAUGAUUUUAAUGCACAGAUCCUCCUCAGGGAUAACCUUGAAGCUAAUCUCGCAAGGUAUUCCCAUGCCUUCCUUUCCCAUCAACACCAAAAAAAUCAAUCCAAGUAUAGUCGGCAAUUCCCCCACACCAUACUGUCAACUAUAAAGCAAUUGAACUUUUUGCUUUAGGUUUUAGUUUUAAGUUGCUUUACAUUGAACUGUGACCCAUAGGACUUUUAUUGCAAAUUGUAAUUGGAGCUGUGAGCUUACAUGGAAGUUUCUUCAAGUGUGAAAACAUGAUGUUGAUUGGGUUGCCACCAGAUCUGUUUCAUGUCUGGGAUUUGUUAAAGCUAUCAUGCUCUCUCCUUUGCCAGGUACAGUAAGCUAUAUGACAAAUAUGGGAAGCAAAAUGAGGCAUGAGAGAAUAUUUGAAGCAUUUCAAGUUAUAGGUACCUACAAGAUUGGUAGUAUAAUGUAUAACAAGGAGAACAUUUAAUGUGUUUCAAGUGGUUUUAAGAUUGGUCGUAUAAGAUUUCAAGCUUUUUUAGGCUCUGAUAUCAAAUUGUAUUUCUGUUUAUAUUUUAAUUAUUUUGAAUAUUGAAGUGUUU